Molecule: ribosomal RNA, 253 nt
Filed under: uncultured bacterium
Lineage: Bacteria
Description: partial 16S ribosomal RNA
Rfam family: Bacterial small subunit ribosomal RNA
Source: RNAcentral
UACAGAGGUCCCAAGCGUUGUUCGGAUUCACUGGGCGUAAAGGGUGCGUAGGUGGCCGGGACAGUUCGGUGUGAAAGCUCCAAGCUCAACUUGGAAAUGUCAUCGAAAACUACUCGGCUCGAGGAUUGAAGGGGAGACUGGAAUUCUCGGUGUAGCAGUGAAAUGCGUAGAUAUCGAGAGGAACACCGGUGGCGAAGGCGAGUCUCUGGGCAAAUCCUGACACUGAGGCACGAAAGCUGGGGGAGCAAACAGG